RNAcentral lists this ribosomal RNA (425 nucleotides) under uncultured bacterium. RNAcentral describes it as "bacterial SSU rRNA". It matches the Rfam family "Bacterial small subunit ribosomal RNA", at positions 355 to 771 of the family's 1533-position model. The record is from RNAcentral.
UGGGGAAUUGUUCGCAAUGGGCGCAAGCCUGACGACGCAACGCCGCGUGGAGGACGAAGAUCUUCGGGUCGUAAACUCCUGUCGAGCGGGCAGAACACCUGCCGGGCAAACACUCCGGCAGGCUGACGGUACCGCUAAAGGAAGCCCCGGCUAACUCCGUGCCAGCAGCCGCGGUAAUACGGGGGGGGCAAGCGUUGUUCGGAAUUACUGGGCGUAAAGGGCUCGUAGGCGGCCAACUAAGUCGGAUGUGAAAUCCCCAGGCUCAACCUGGGAACUGCAUCCGAUACUGGAUGGCUUGAAUCCGGGAGAGGGAUGCAGAAUUCCAGGUGUAGCGGUGAAAUGCGUAGAUAUCUGGAGGAAUACCGGUGGCGAAGGCGGCAUCCUGGACCGGCAUUGACGCUGAUGAGCGAAAGCCAGGGGAGCAA